Molecule: small nucleolar RNA, 78 nt
Filed under: Operophtera brumata (winter moth)
Lineage: Eukaryota; Metazoa; Arthropoda; Insecta; Lepidoptera; Geometridae
Source: RNAcentral
CCAAAAUGAUGCAAAACUUUUAUCAACUGAAGAACCAUGUGGUUUCAAAAUAUCGAGCUUUUUAACACUGAUAUUGGU